RNAcentral lists this ribosomal RNA (2173 nucleotides) under Escherichia coli. RNAcentral describes it as "bacterial LSU rRNA". It matches the Rfam family "Bacterial large subunit ribosomal RNA", at positions 1 to 2190 of the family's 2925-position model. The record is from RNAcentral. Lineage: Bacteria; Pseudomonadati; Pseudomonadota; Gammaproteobacteria; Enterobacterales; Enterobacteriaceae.
GGGUUGUGAGGUUAAGCGACUAAGCGUACACGGUGGAUGCCCUGGCAGUCAGAGGCGAUGAAGGACGUGCUAAUCUGCGAUAAGCGUCGGUAAGGUGAUAUGAACCGUUAUAACCGGCGAUUUCCGAAUGGGGAAACCCAGUGUGAUUCGUCACACUAUCAUUAACUGAAUCCAUAGGUUAAUGAGGCGAACCGGGGGAACUGAAACAUCUAAGUACCCCGAGGAAAAGAAAUCAACCGAGAUUCCCCCAGUAGCGGCGAGCGAACGGGGAGGAGCCCAGAGCCUGAAUCAGUGUGUGUGUUAGUGGAAGCGUCUGGAAAGGCGCGCGAUACAGGGUGACAGCCCCGUACACAAAAAUGCACAUACUGUGAGCUCGAUGAGUAGGGCGGGACACGUGGUAUCCUGUCUGAAUAUGGGGGGACCAUCCUCCAAGGCUAAAUACUCCUGACUGACCGAUAGUGAACCAGUACCGUGAGGGAAAGGCGAAAAGAACCCCGGCGAGGGGAGUGAAAAAGAACCUGAAACCGUGUACGUACAAGCAGUGGGAGCCUCUUUAUGGGGUGACUGCGUACCUUUUGUAUAAUGGGUCAGCGACUUAUAUUCUGUAGCAAGGUUAACCGAAUAGGGGAGCCGAAGGGAAACCGAGUCUUAACUGGGCGUUAAGUUGCAGGGUAUAGACCCGAAACCCGGUGAUCUAGCCAUGGGCAGGUUGAAGGUUGGGUAACACUAACUGGAGGACCGAACCGACUAAUGUUGAAAAAUUAGCGGAUGACUUGUGGCUGGGGGUGAAAGGCCAAUCAAACCGGGAGAUAGCUGGUUCUCCCCGAAAGCUAUUUAGGUAGCGCCUCGUGAAUUCAUCUCCGGGGGUAGAGCACUGUUUCGGCAAGGGGGUCAUCCCGACUUACCAACCCGAUGCAAACUGCGAAUACCGGAGAAUGUUAUCACGGGAGACACACGGCGGGUGCUAACGUCCGUCGUGAAGAGGGAAACAACCCAGACCGCCAGCUAAGGUCCCAAAGUCAUGGUUAAGUGGGAAACGAUGUGGGAAGGCCCAGACAGCCAGGAUGUUGGCUUAGAAGCAGCCAUCAUUUAAAGAAAGCGUAAUAGCUCACUGGUCGAGUCGGCCUGCGCGGAAGAUGUAACGGGGCUAAACCAUGCACCGAAGCUGCGGCAGCGACACUAUGUGUUGUUGGGUAGGGGAGCGUUCUGUAAGCCUGUGAAGGUGUACUGUGAGGUAUGCUGGAGGUAUCAGAAGUGCGAAUGCUGACAUAAGUAACGAUAAAGCGGGUGAAAAGCCCGCUCGCCGGAAGACCAAGGGUUCCUGUCCAACGUUAAUCGGGGCAGGGUGAGUCGACCCCUAAGGCGAGGCCGAAAGGCGUAGUCGAUGGGAAACAGGUUAAUAUUCCUGUACUUGGUGUUACUGCGAAGGGGGGACGGAGAAGGCUAUGUUGGCCGGGCGACGGUUGUCCCGGUUUAAGCGUGUAGGCUGAUUUUCCAGGCAAAUCCGGAAAAUCAAGGCUGAGGCGUGAUGACGAGGCACUACGGUGCUGAAGCAACAAAUGCCCUGCUUCCAGGAAAAGCCUCUAAGCAUCAGGUAACAUCAAAUCGUACCCCAAACCGACACAGGUGGUCAGGUAGAGAAUACCAAGGCGCUUGAGAGAACUCGGGUGAAGGAACUAGGCAAAAUGGUGCCGUAACUUCGGGAGAAGGCACGCUGAUAUGUAGGUGAAGCGACUUGCUCGUGGAGCUGAAAUCAGUCGAAGAUACCAGCUGGCUGCAACUGUUUAUUAAAAACACAGCACUGUGCAAACACGAAAGUGGACGUAUACGGUGUGACGCCUGCCCGGUGCCGGAAGGUUAAUUGAUGGGGUUAGCGGUAACGCGAAGCUCUUGAUCGAAGCCCCGGUAAACGGCGGCCGUAACUAUAACGGUCCUAAGGUAGCGAAAUUCCUUGUCGGGUAAGUUCCGACCUGCACGAAUGGCGUAAUGAUGGCCAGGCUGUCUCCACCCGAGACUCAGUGAAAUUGAACUCGCUGUGAAGAUGCAGUGUACCCGCGGCAAGACGGAAAGACCCCGUGAACCUUUACUAUAGCUUGACACUGAACAUUGAGCCUUGAUGUGUAGGAUAGGUGGGAGGCUUUGAAGUGUGGACGCCAGUCUGCAUGGAGCCGAC